RNAcentral lists this ribosomal RNA (230 nucleotides) under Glyptidotea lichtensteini. RNAcentral describes it as "partial 12S ribosomal RNA". The record is from RNAcentral. Lineage: Eukaryota; Metazoa; Arthropoda; Malacostraca; Isopoda; Idoteidae.
UACUACAUAUUUUCUUCAAACCCAAAGGAUUUGGCGGUGUUUAAUCUGCUCAUAGGAACCUGUCCUGUAAUCGUCACUACCCGUUANAUCUCACCCGGCCUGAGUUCAUAUACCGUCAUCUUAGCACUAUCUGGAGAGGAUGUUUAAAAGGGUGACACCAAUGUUAGAUCAAGGUGUGGCCCAUGGGCGGGGAUAAGAUGGGUUWCAGUUUAAAGAUUAGUGGAGGCUCG